This 446-nucleotide ribosomal RNA is filed under the name uncultured bacterium. RNAcentral describes it as "bacterial SSU rRNA". It matches the Rfam family "Bacterial small subunit ribosomal RNA", at positions 354 to 796 of the family's 1533-position model. The record is from RNAcentral.
GUGAGGAAUAUUGCGCAAUGGACGAAAGUCUGACGCAGCCAUGCCGCGUGAAGGAUUGACGGCCCUAUGGGUUGUAAACUUCUUUUGUAUAGGAAUAAACCCUCGUUCGUGAACGAGGCUGAAGGUACUAUAAGAAUAAGCACCGGCUAACUCCGUGCCAGCAGCCGCGGUAAUACGGAGGGUGCAAGCGUUAUCCGGAUUUAUUGGGUUUAAAGGGUCCGUAGGCGGAUCGUUAAGUCAGUGGUGAAAUCCUACCGCUCAACGGUAGAACUGCCAUUGAUACUGGCGAUCUUGAGUAUGUAUGAAGUUGGCGGAAUGUGUGGUGUAGCGGUGAAAUGCUUAGAUAUCACACAGAACACCGAUUGCGAAGGCAGCUGACUAAUACACAACUGACGCUGAGGGACGAAAGUGUGGGGAUCAAACAGGAUUAGAUACCCGAGUAGUCC